Molecule: small nuclear RNA, 107 nt
Filed under: Dasypus novemcinctus (nine-banded armadillo)
Lineage: Eukaryota; Metazoa; Chordata; Mammalia; Cingulata; Dasypodidae
Source: RNAcentral
GUGUUCACUUUGGCAUCACAUAUACUAAAAAUGGAAUGACACUAAGAAGAUUAGCAUGGCCCCUGUUCAAAGAUGACAAACAAACUUGUCAAGAGUUCCAUAUUUUA